This 246-nucleotide long non-coding RNA is filed under the name Nicotiana benthamiana. RNAcentral's name for it is "long non-coding RNA (NBEN_LNC023033)". Lineage: Eukaryota; Viridiplantae; Streptophyta; Magnoliopsida; Solanales; Solanaceae. The record is from RNAcentral.
AGAUUUCACGAAACAAACGAAAAGGAAAGGAAAGAUGAAACAUAAAUCAUGGAUCAACUAAGCCCUCUCAGGGACUUUCUUAAAGAGGAACCUCAUGUAAAUACCAUGGAAUAAGGUUUGAUCCUAUUCAUGGAGAUUCCGUAACUAUUCCAAAAAUGGAAAGUUAUAAAUCAUGGAUCAACUAAGCCCUCUCAGGGACUUUCUUAAAGAGGAACCUCAUGUAAAUACCAUGGAAUAAGGUUUGAU